AGGUAGGAAUACCCGCUGAACUUAAGCAUAUCAAUAAGCGGAGGAAAAGAAACCAACAGGGAUUGCCCUAGUAACGGCGAGUGAAGCGGCAACAGCUCAAAUUUGAAAUCUGGCUUCGGCCCGAGUUGUAAUUUGCAGAGGAUGUUUAUGGUGCGGUACCUUCCGAGUUCCCUGGAACGGGACGCCACAGAGGGUGAGAGCCCCGUCUGGUUGGAUACCAAACCUGUGUUAAACUCCUUCAACGAGUCGAGUAGUUUGGGAAUGCUGCUCUAAAUGGGAGGUAAAUCUCUUCUAAAGCUAAAUACCGGCCAGAGACCGAUAGCGCACAAGUAGAGUGAUCGAAAGAUGAAAAGCACCUUGAAAAGGGGGUUAAACAGUACGUGAAAUUGUUAAAAGGGAAGCGUUUAUGACCAGACUUGUGUCGUGUGGCUCAUCCGAGGUUCUCCCCGGUGCACUCCACACGGCUCAGGCCAACAUCGGUUCUCGUUGGGGGAUAAGAACAGUAGGAACGUAGCCCUCUUCGGCGGGUGUUAUAGCCUAUUGUACGAUACCCUGAUGGGGACCGAGGACCGCGCUUCGGCUAGGAUGUUGG
This 592-nucleotide ribosomal RNA is filed under the name Discula quercina. RNAcentral's name for it is "LSU rRNA". It matches the Rfam family "Eukaryotic large subunit ribosomal RNA", at positions 13 to 629 of the family's 3401-position model. The record is from RNAcentral. Lineage: Eukaryota; Fungi; Ascomycota; Sordariomycetes; Diaporthales; Gnomoniaceae.